CCUCAGCAGGACUUUAGAUUUCCGUUGAUGGACUCACCCGGAAACAAGUGAGAGAGAUUUCUUGGAGCAGCUGUCGGCAUUCAGGAAGGAGAGAGAAGAGCAAUGUGACACAUUGAAAAGAGUGCUGAAUUUGGAGUCAGAAGGCUUGGACUUAAAUCUCACCUUUGCUCUUUCCCACCAGAAGGAUCAUGACAUGAUAAAUGUGAAGUCAAGAAG
This 216-nucleotide long non-coding RNA is filed under the name Sarcophilus harrisii (Tasmanian devil). RNAcentral's name for it is "lncRNA (ENSSHAG00000024627.1)". The record is from RNAcentral. Lineage: Eukaryota; Metazoa; Chordata; Mammalia; Dasyuromorphia; Dasyuridae.